This is a long non-coding RNA of Chlorocebus sabaeus (green monkey), 1529 nucleotides long. RefSeq lists it as uncharacterized. The record is from RefSeq and is a predicted model, not a curated record. NCBI's taxonomy places the organism in Eukaryota, Metazoa, Chordata, Mammalia, Primates, Cercopithecidae.
CCUCCUUCAGCCUCCCGAGGAGCUGGGACUGCAGGCAUGUGCCAACAUGAUCACUAAUACAACAAAAUAGAAUUUCUUGUGCUUUCUUCCUGCUGGGUCCCCGUGGCCGUCAAGUGCUCUGUGGUGUGCCCCUCCUGCCUCAGUCUGGCGACCACUGCCCCACACUGGUACUGUAAGCGUGCUAGCCUUGCCUGCCUGCCUGCCCCCACCACCAGAGAUUUCUAAGCUUCUUAAGAGCAACAGCUGUGCCUUGUCCUUCUCAUCCCUCCCAAGCACCUAACCCAGGGUGAGCUAAGCUCAGCUGCUCCAUGACACUGGCUUCAGGAACUGCCUGUGAACAGCCAAUAAGCCCUAUAAUUUGCAGAUGUCCAUGCGGACCCAGCGUAGGUGGGACACAGUGAAGAAUAAAGCCCAGAUCCCAUUCCUGAGGCUGUCUGAGGUACUGGGAUGAGAGGUGUUUGCAAGACAUGCCAUACAGUUCAGGGUAGAGAGAAGCAAGAGCUGCUGGAGAAAUACUCGCGGAGUGCUGUGGGAGACCGGAGCAAAGAUGCUUCCUGCUGGUUCAUGCUGCCUGGGACUGAGAAAGGCUUCCUGGAGGAGGUGGCAUUCUGCUCAGUGGUAUAGGCUUUUGUACUAUGGCAGCAAGAGGAAAAGGACUAAGAAAAGGUGAUGAGGUGAAGCUUUGGAGAUGCCAUCAAAGAGGAGCACCCAUCAGGGGAAAAGUACAGAGGGAGGAAGAAGGGCAAAGACCUCUCAAGGACAAACAAAAAUCCACAGGUGGUGGCCUGGGAUGUGACAGUAGCACUCGCUACAGUAUUCCAGAUACACUGGGUUUUUGGUAAUACUUUUUACCCAGCUGGGGGAAAAGGCCAUUAGUUGCCAACUCACAGAUGUUCUUCCUGUUCCUCCCAUACCCCAAACACAACCCUGCCUUUGGGCCCUUGCGCUAGCUUCCCUCUGACUAAAAUGCUCUGCCCCGAGGGUCACCCAGCUGGGCCCCAUGCCCUGCAGGGCUCCACACAGAAGCUAUCUCCUCAGAGGCCUUCUCUGACCAUCUGAUCCCAGGGCGCCCAGGGCACUCUCCAGCACAGCACCCUUCUGCAUUUUUGUCUCAGUCCUAAACACACCCUGAUGUUGUCUCAUUUAUUUUUAUGGUGAUUUGUUUACUAUCUGUCUCCCCCACUCCACCCACCACCUCCACACUAGACUAUAAGGGUCAGGGCUGCUGUGAUCACUGACCUUAAAAACGGAGUGAGUAGCUUCACCCUGGUCCUCUUAAAGUACUUUGUUAUAAAGGCUAGUUUGAUGAAAUGGCCUCACUUGAGAUGACCUCAAAACCACUUAAUGGAAAAAGAGAGGGGGGGAGUGAGACAGAAAUAUAAAAGAGUGGGAUUGCUCCAAUGAAACUUGAUGUGUGAGGUUACCAGGCAGUUUUAGUUUAAUGCCUAUUUCAAUCUACUUUGCCUCAUUUCUUUAGCUUCAGUUAAAAAAAAAAAAAAAAACUUACUGUGCUUCAUGUACCUCUCAAA